Molecule: ribosomal RNA, 465 nt
Filed under: uncultured bacterium
Lineage: Bacteria
Description: partial 16S ribosomal RNA
Rfam family: Bacterial small subunit ribosomal RNA
Source: RNAcentral
GACGAACGCUGGCGGCGUGCUUAACACAUGCAAGUCGAACGGAAAGGCCCUGCUUGCAGGGUACUCGAGUGGCGAACGGGUGAGUAACACGUGGGUGAUCUGCCCUGCACUUCGGGAUAAGCCUGGGAAACUGGGUCUAAUACCGGAUAGGAGCCAUUUUUAGUGUGAUGGUUGGAAAGUUUUUUCGGUGUAGGAUGAGCUCGCGGCCUAUCAGCUUGUUGGUGGGGUAAUGGCCUACCAAGGCGGCGACGGGUAGCCGGCCUGAGAGGGUGGACGGCCACAUUGGGACUGAGAUACGGCCCAGACUCCUACGGGAGGCAGCAGUGGGGAAUAUUGCACAAUGGGCGCAAGCCUGAUGCAGCGACGCCGCGUGGGGGAUGACGGCCUUCGGGUUGUAAACUCCUUUCGCUAGGGACGAAGCUUUUUGUGACGGUACCUAGAGAAGAAGCACCGGCUGACUACGUG